ACCCCUCUGGUGUAUCGGUUAACAUAUCGGAUUCUCAUUCCGAUGCGCGGGGUUCGACUCCCCGGGGGGGUG
RNAcentral lists this transfer RNA (72 nucleotides) under Thermothielavioides terrestris NRRL 8126. Its description in RNAcentral is "tRNA-Glu (CTC) (tRNA-Glu-CTC-3-1)". It matches the Rfam family "tRNA". From Rfam's summary of the family: Transfer RNA (tRNA) molecules are approximately 80 nucleotides in length. Their secondary structure includes four short double-helical elements and three loops (D, anti-codon, and T loops). The record is from RNAcentral. Lineage: Eukaryota; Fungi; Ascomycota; Sordariomycetes; Sordariales; Chaetomiaceae.